Molecule: ribosomal RNA, 299 nt
Filed under: uncultured bacterium
Lineage: Bacteria
Description: partial 16S ribosomal RNA
Source: RNAcentral
UAGAGUUUGAUCAUGGCUCAGGAUAAGUCGUAACAAGGUAACCGUAGAGUUUGAUCCUGGCUCAGGUGAAGUCGUAACAAGGUAGCCGUAAAGUUUGAUCAUGGCUCAGGAAAGUCGUAACAAGGUAGCCGUAAGUCGUAACAAGGUAACCGUAGAGUUUGAUCAUGGCUCAGGAAAGUCGUAACAAGGUAGCCGUAAGUCGUAACAAGGGAGAGUUUGAUCAUGGCUCAGGAUAAGUCGUAACAAGGUAACCGUAAGUCGUAACAAGGUAGCCGUAAGUCGUAAUAAGGUAACCGUAA